UUGUAUCAGUGAGUGGGACGUGGGCAGGACAGUCCUGCCCAGAGGACAGGCAGGAUGACGGCCUGGUCCCCUGGGGGAGCUGUCACACCGUAGGAGAGGCUGUUUGAGGAAGUGCUGCUCAGGUUUCAGUUGAGCUUUAGGUUUCUGCCUGGCAAAGCGUUACAGGCUUGGCCAGCAUUGUGAUUCCACAUCAGAGGAAGCGUAGUUUUGGGGGGAAAAAAACACGAGUUGAAGAUGCCUUAUCAUCUGAUGUCUGCUAGGCAAGCUCUCUGGUAAUUAGUGACCUCUGUUGAGUCCAAGUAGUUACCUUGCCUAUUGGGUUCUAUUGGGUAUUUUAAUUUUGAGGGAGUUCAUUUUGGCUGUACUGCUAGAGUGCUGGAAUAGAGCUAUGUCCAUAAAACCAGUAGCUCAGUCUCUUCCCAUAAUUCUGUUUUUUGGUGUUUUUUUUGUUUUUUUAAUAAGACUUUCUCUUGGAGCUUUGCUUAUUAUGUGCUCAUUGCUACCUGCCUUGGAAGUUAUUCAUGAACCUAUAAGCUACUAGGCUACUGUGAAGUGUGUGAUUGUUCAGACUUCUUGUUUCAAAAGAGGUUUUUUAACCUUAAGUAUAGACCAGUUAUACUGCCAGGAAACCUGAAUAUACUUUAAACAUGGCAUAAGCCUCAAUCAAGGACAGUUCCACUUUGUCUACGUAAGUCUGAGCAUUCCAGCAUGCCAAGCUUCAGACGUGAGUUGCUGCUUGGCACUUAGAGCUUUCAUUCAACAAUUUGAGGCAAAGAUCAGAUCCUCUGGGUAGCGAGGGUGUCAGCAGCAUGACUGAUGCGCUGAGCCUCCUUGGGAGGAUGCCUGUCAAAUAAAUUCUUGUUAUGCUGCCUCCUGCCAGGUGACCACAGAGAUCUGCCAGAAGCUCAGGGGAGAGCCAGUUGUUGGUCUUCCGAGCCAGAAAGGAGGCAUUGUUGUAAGAUGAAGCGGCCAGCGGGAGAGGACAGCAGCUUGCAGACAAGUUUUCUUCAUUAUGGUUGAGAAAGUUUGAACAUUUGAAAAAAAAAAAGAAGACGAAAUGACCAUUAAUGUGCACAACCCUCCCUGCGUAUGAGAGAGCAGUACCUGGUGCCAGGAGGAUUUUCCACAAUUAAGAGCCUCUGGAAAAGCUGAACUGAGGCCUGAACAUGAUACAGACUUCAGACUGGAUCUUUCCUAAAUCCUAAGAAGUCUUUGGUUGAGGUCCUCUUGGGCCAGGAGUGCUCCCAUGUGAAGCUGUCCCAGCAGAAACACUGCAUCCAAGUUGAUCAGGGCACGGGUAUCAUGUCCUGUUUCCAAAGCAUCCACAAAGAGCUUGGAAAUCCUCUCCCCAAACUCCACGUUGUCGCUGCAGCCUCCCCAGACCCAGCCUCGGCCACCUGCAAGGCAAACAAGACGGUCCUGUCAUCAGAAAGUUAUUCACCGACCUGAAACAAAGAAAGGAAAAUGAGCCGCGCCAUUUAACACAGGCUCAAGAGCAUCCCCCCACACACCCUGAAACCUACCACGCUGCUGCAUUGAGAACAGCCCCAGAGAU
Lagopus muta (rock ptarmigan) is the source of this 1555-nucleotide long non-coding RNA. RefSeq lists it as uncharacterized. The record is from RefSeq and is a predicted model, not a curated record. The transcript has 5 exons. Lineage: Eukaryota; Metazoa; Chordata; Aves; Galliformes; Phasianidae.